CGGACCAACUCUGGAGAGCGGCCUUUACGGCCCACCGAAGGGGCAGGCGGGGACUCUCUCCGCUAUCUCUCAGGUACCGAGGACAGAGGGGUGCGA
Molecule: non-coding RNA, 96 nt
Filed under: Massilia sp.
Lineage: Bacteria; Pseudomonadati; Pseudomonadota; Betaproteobacteria; Burkholderiales; Oxalobacteraceae
Description: Glycine sequence
Rfam family: Glycine riboswitch aptamer
About the family: This family represents the bacterial glycine riboswitch. Glycine riboswitches usually consist of two metabolite-binding aptamers domains with similar structures in tandem. The aptamers cooperatively bind glycine to regulate the expression of downstream genes.
Source: RNAcentral